Molecule: ribosomal RNA, 301 nt
Filed under: Lactobacillus sp. 39D2CCL02MX
Lineage: Bacteria; Bacillati; Bacillota; Bacilli; Lactobacillales; Lactobacillaceae
Description: partial 16S ribosomal RNA
Source: RNAcentral
UCCUNUACUCGAAGUCGAACGAACUCUGGUAUUGAUUGGUGCUUGCAUCAUGAUUUACAUCUNAGUGAGCGACGAACUGGUGAGUAACACGUGGGAAACUGCCCACAAGCCGAAAAUAACACCUGAAUCAAAUGCUAAUACCGAAUAAAACUUGAACCGCUNUNNCCAAGAACGAAAUAUAAAUUCNGUUCUCCUCUUUCUUGGCGCAGGGCNNAUCAGAUAUUNUUUUGGUGCCGGCCCCNUGGCCCCUAAUCCUAACCCAACUCACCAUAAAACAACCACUUGGGCACUAAAAACCAGA